UAGGGAAUUUUCGUCAAGUGGGGGCAACCCUGAACGAGCAAUGCCGCGUGAGCGAAGAAGGUCUUCGGAUUGUAAAGCUCUGUUGACCGGGGAAAAAGGAAGGAAAGAGGAAAUGCUUUUCUUUGGAUGGUACCCGGCCAGAAAGUCACGGCUAACUACGUGCC
Molecule: ribosomal RNA, 164 nt
Filed under: uncultured bacterium
Lineage: Bacteria
Description: partial 16S ribosomal RNA
Rfam family: Bacterial small subunit ribosomal RNA
Source: RNAcentral